UACAGAGGGGGCAAGCGUUGUUCGGAAUUACUGGGCGUAAAGGGCGCGUAGGCGGCCUUCUACGUCGAACGUGAAAUCCCUGGGCUCAACCCAGGAACUGCGUCCGAUACUGGAAGGCUUGAAUCCGGGAGAGGGAUGCGGAAUUCCAGGUGUAGCGGUGAAAUGCGUAGAUAUCUGGAGGAACACCGGUGGCGAAGGCGGCAUCCUGGACCGGUAUUGACGCUGAGGCGCGAAAGCCAGGGGAGCAAACGGG
Molecule: ribosomal RNA, 253 nt
Filed under: uncultured bacterium
Lineage: Bacteria
Description: partial 16S ribosomal RNA
Rfam family: Bacterial small subunit ribosomal RNA
Source: RNAcentral